RNAcentral lists this long non-coding RNA (242 nucleotides) under Elaeis guineensis (African oil palm). RNAcentral describes it as "long non-coding RNA (EGUI_LNC073420)". The record is from RNAcentral. Lineage: Eukaryota; Viridiplantae; Streptophyta; Magnoliopsida; Arecales; Arecaceae.
GCAUCCCGAAUAUAUUUAUAAGUAUGAAAUCAUGUCAAACUCAACAUAUAUUUUUUAUUGAUUCUUUAUCAAUCAAUGAUAACUCUAAUGAAAUUUUAGAAUCCCUAUCUAACCUUCAUUUAUUUUGGCCAAAGUCUUUUUGAGUUUAUCAAGAGAAAAGAAUACAUAGGAUGUCAUCUCUUCUUACUAAGAGUGAUCAAUUCCUUGUUGACCUACUCACAACUUUCAUACAUACUCCACCA